UACGAAGGGUGCAAGCGUUACUCGGAAUUACUGGGCGUAAAGCGUGCGCAGGCGGUCCGCAAAGUCUGAUGUGAAAGCCCCGGGCUCAACCUGGGAACUGCAUUGGAAACUAACGGGCUCGAGUGUGGCAGAGGGGGGUGGAAUUCCACGUGUAGCAGUGAAAUGCGUAGAGAUGUGGAGGAACACCGAUGGCGAAGGCAGCCCCCUGGGCUAACACUGACGCUCAGGCACGAAAGCGUGGGGAGCAAACAGG
RNAcentral lists this ribosomal RNA (253 nucleotides) under uncultured bacterium. RNAcentral describes it as "partial 16S ribosomal RNA". It matches the Rfam family "Bacterial small subunit ribosomal RNA", at positions 524 to 776 of the family's 1533-position model. The record is from RNAcentral.